GUGGCCAGUCCUGGAUCGAGUGAAAGAAGAGCUCGGGUCCUGAUGGCUGCUCAGCCCACCCCUCGGCCCGCGCCAGGCACUGAUCAUGGCGGAACACCUCCGCGGCUGGAGAAAAACCCGACCUGGCCGCACGAAGCCCCGAAAUUCCACAGCGGACUCGGCGCCCCGCGCGGCCGGUCCGGGCACCUGCCCGGCGGCUGCUGACCGCCGCUGCAGCCUCUCCAAGACCGACUCCUCCUCUCCCGCCAAACUCUGAAUUUAAAAGCGACUUAGAUGGCGGGAAUGCGCGUGUUCCGGGCAGAAUUUUCUCCGCCGUUCCUUUCCCUGGCCUGUGCGGAAAGUUUCCUCCUCACACGGCGACGAGUAAAGGUUAACCUACAGGCUGCGCCCCCUUCUUUCCCUUCAGCCCCCGCCUUCCCGAAGCUUCUCCUCACAGUAAGGGGGGCCUCAGAGAUAUACUUUCAACUCAAACUUAACCUCUCAAGUAAAAAAGAAAAGAAAAAAUGUUAACCUAAGACUAGAGAACGGACUGUCCUCAAGCGCCCUUUGCCUCCGCAGACCGCGUCCGGUCAGCCCUCGCCUCAGCUGGUGAACUUCUCCCUCAGAGCCGCAUUCAACCGCCUUUUCCGGCUCAAACCCGCCUCUCGGGCUCAUGAAUAAUCAACGAGAUCUUCUUGGGUGGGGCGAGGUGCUCAUGAAUAAUUCAUGAGCCCCCAAAGCUUUCUCAGGUGUCCAUCCACUCUCCGCUUCAUGAAUAUGCAAAGAAGGGGCGAGCUGCGGCAGCUUAUAGGACCCUGGCGCGCCCGGCCCCCUCCACGCCCGACCCGGCCCCCGUUCCCGGUCCUCUCGCCCUCUCUCCUCCCACGCCGCGUCUCUGCUGAGGCAGAGAAGGUCGGUUUCCCGACCUUCCAAAGGUUCGCCUCGCGCUCCCGGGGCUACAGAAGGACCCGACGUCGCCUUCAACUUCGGCAACAAGUACGUCGAGGACAACCUGCCGCGGGGCUUCUGGAGGAGGCGCCUCCUGGUCGAGCUACAGGUAAGAGGAAACGUGCCACUGCCUUGGAGCAGGGCAGGCUGCAUGGAAAACAAGCAGGAUGUCUUUCCCCUUCGACUUGGGACUGCACUGGAAACCAGAUAACCAAGAAAUAUUUUCUGCAAGUGGAUCAAUUUAUUCUCAUUCCUCGCAGUGUCCUGAAAGAAACUAAAAGGGUGCCACUAGAACUUUGUCUAGUAAGAGGGAAGAAACUCAUGCAGAGAGGACACAUUUUGCUGACUGCAAGAAUCAAAAGUGACCUGUAAUUACCUGAAGAUUCUCAUCCUCUCGGAUUAGCUGCUUCCUGGGAAAGAUCUGAUUUGCCUGGAUGCACUCAAGGCUGUGCCGAGUCUCUUCAUCCUGAAAAAACCCCAAAACCUUAAAAUAAUUUCAAAGCAUAUUUGGUUUUCCUACCCCGUUUUAAUAGUGUAAUCACAAUGAGAGUCCAGUGACCAAAGUAAUAGGCACAAAACUAAAGAAAAAAAUAUUCAUCCCCAAUAUAUUCAUCCAAUUUAGAUUAUGUGCCUCUAGUUAGAGAACACACUAAUUUUUUUUACAAAAGGAGGUUAAGAACAUUUACAUUAAGCACUAAUAAGAUGUUAGGUCAUUACUUGUACAAGAAACCAAAAUACAGUCGUUUUGUUCUUUUCUUUUUAAUCUCUUAUUUAUUUAUUUAUUUAUUUAUUUAUUUAUUUAUUUAUUUUAGAAAGAGGGGAAGGGAAGGAGAAAGAGUGGGAGAGAAACAUCAAUGUGUGGUUGCCUCUCAUGUGUCCCCUACUGGGGACCUAGCUCGCAACCCAGGCAUGUGUCCUGAUUGGGAACCAAACCAGUGACCCUCUGCUUCACAGGCCUGUGUUCAAUCCACUGAGCAGUCGUUUUGUUCUUUAAUUUGUAACCUUAAAUUCUUAUUUUUGAAAGUUACACUCUGAAUUAUUUAAGAAUGAAAUGAUGUAGUAUCUGGAAUUUGCUUCAAAAUAAGUAGAGGGGGAAAAGUAAGGAGGAAGUGAGUAGAGCAUAAAUGAAACAGGACUGUCCAUGAGGGAUGUCUGAUGAAACUGUGUAAGUGAAGGUUCACUAGACCUACCAUUGUGUCUAUUUUGGUUGCAUGCAUGAUUUCUGUAACACAAAGUUUUUUAAUAAUGUAAAGCUUAAGAACUGAAUUUCUCAAACUGAAAACACGUAUGAACCACUAUCCCUAGUUUAGUAUGUCAUAUAUUUGGGAAUAGAUUUAUUUUUAUUAAGGAAAUUUUUUUAAAAAACCAACAAUAAAUUCUAAUCUACAUGGCACUUGAAUUAUAACCUAUAUUAAAAAAAGUCAUCUUUACACCAUAAAUCUGUACAAGAUGAUAGGAGAAAAAACAAUAUAAUGGAAAAGUCCGAGUGUAAAUUAUGAUGCAAUCUGUUUAACACAGUGAACUUUGUAAAGAUUAAAAGCCGUAUGAUUCUCAAAUGACAGCACCAAGAAUUAAAAUCACUAGAGGACAGACAUUUCUGCAUAUGCUACUUAUUACAAUUCCAACAAUUCUACCUCCUCAAAGAGAGGGGAAAAUCCUGCCUAUAAAUAACACUUAAGGUUUUAUUAAAAAGCAAUCUUAAUCUUGAAUCCAUAAUACUCUACUACUGUGGUUCUCAAAGUGAGGUCCACAGACUUUGAGACCCUUUCAGGGGGGCUCUAUGAGGUCAAAACCACCUUCACAAUAAUACUAAGGCAUUCUGUCUUUUUUUACUGUGACAUUUGUCUAAUAGUGCAAACAGUGCAAAAAGAACUGGUGGGCAAAACUGCUGGCUCAGCAUAAUCAAGGCAGUGACACCAAUUUCACUCAGAAUGUCCUUGAUAAAGCAGGAGAAAAAUGAUACAUUUUAUUAAAUCUUGGCCCUUAAGUAGUCUUUUUUUAUAUUGGAAAUACACAUGAAAUAAUUAUGCUGCACACUGAAGUAUGAUUGUUUCAAGGCCAAGCACUUGUGCCACCCUUUCAGCUACAAGCUGAAUGAGCCACUUUUUUCAAGUACUAUUAAAAAAAAAGCUUUUUAUCUUUUCAAUUACAGUUGACAUACAAUAUUAUAUUAGUUUCAGGUGUACAACAUAGUGAUUAGCUAUUUUUAUAACUUACGAAUGAUCACCUUAAGUCUAACAUCCAUCUAACACUAUCCAGUAUCAUUUAGCUGAAGAGUAAUUCUAUUUCCACUGCUAAGAGACAGCUCUUCACUUAAAAGAGAACUGAGUAUUUUACACUUAGAACCAAAGAGAAAAGAUCUGAGGAAUCUUAAAUUUAGGAAGAUUUUUCUCACAAACCAAUAGGAGGUAGGUAAAAUUUCUAGAACACAUGGGGGAAAGCUUUUUAAAAAUUAUGACAUAAAAGAACAAUGUAAACAGGCUUCCCUCAGCAUCACAUUAACUUUUUAAUUUAGAUAAAUUCAUAUCCUAAACUUUUAUUCUCUUCAGUAUCAUUUUACACAAGUACCCCGACCUAUUUUACUGACCUUUAAAUAUUACAGAAUUGAAAUCAUGUAAUAGGUUUAAAAAAAACUAGAAGCUAAAAUACCAUUUCAUUCUUGUCAGCACAUUCACUUGAGUGUUAACCCAGGCCAAUGUAUAUAAUCAAAACAGUUACUGAAAACUGAAAAUGGAAUAAAUGAUUUUCAGCCUAAGAGAACUGAAAUUAGGCCAGCAAUGCAAAAAUGCAUUUAAUCCCCAGAGAUUUAGUUAACAUUAGGGCAAACUACCUGUUAACUUUCUAGAAGAAUGGUGAUUCAAAAAACAUUACUUGACUAACAUAAGUUGAAUUAACUACCUAAUUUCUUUUUUACAGUUCCUGAAUUUUAUAAGUAAAAACGGAGGCCAAACUUUAGAUAAAUAAGGAGUUGGAAAGAGACAAAGGGAAGGAAGAAACAAACUAGCAAGUAUUGGCAUGUUUCCACAGGCUGAAAGUUCCAAGAGGUGAACCAAACAGCAGGCUGAUUCCACACAAUGAAAACGUUCAGGUAGGUCUGCUGUAAUGACUCACCUUGAUAACUGUCACCCUAGGCCAUAAUCAAACACCUACUUGGUAGCAAACAGUAUGUUAAUUGUGAAACAUUUCCAACAAAAAUUUAAAGCUGUCCACACCUCUUAGGACUAUUCACUACUAGAUAAAGGCCACGAGUCUGAAACAAAAUCCCCGGUGCCCCGAGUUACCUUCCCACAGCACCAGUGGGUAUCCCAUGAUAUAAGUCACGUAACCCUCAGAAGCUAAGAGCAAUUAUGUUUGAGUGACCUUGAAUAUUCACAUUGAAGAGGUAGAAUGUAAAGUGGUUAUGUUAAAUCUAAGCAACCUAAAGUGUCUAAUUACACAUGUCUUAAACACAUUAAGCGUUAAUGAAUAGAGACAGCCAGGGCAGUGUGGUGGGGCAGAGGUUAAUCAUGGUCAUCCUUAAGUUUCAUCUCCAAGGGGGGUUUAAAAAAAUAUCUGAAGUUACCUGAAAUAAGAGAUAAAACUUUUACAGUCACAUAUUAUACUGUGACUGGAUAGGAUUUUAUCUAUUGUAAGAGAAAACCCUAAUGAAUAAAAAUAAGUAUUCUUGAAUAUUAAAUAGAUAAUAUAGGAUAUCACUGUGAAACUGCAUUAGACAGGAAAACCUAACACAAAAUCCCUUUAUGGAAGAUAAUGAAGUAAUGACUCAGAGGAAGGGCAGGGAGGCCCUGAGAAAGCCAAGAAGGAAUGGACACCUAUCAGAAACAGCCUUAUGUGCUUGGAUCACCUGUAUGCCACCUACCAUAUCAGCUACAACAAUGGCAAAGCGGCACAUGACUUUGGGCCAUUUCUAUAAUAAAAGAAUCCAAACUACAAAAUUGUGUAUGUGGGGGAGGAGAGGCAGGGGAGGUGUAUUAAGCUGUACUUUUUUUUUUUUUUUACUAAGGUGCAUUUUAACUUCAAAAGAACAAUAAACUAUUUUUUUGCAUAGUUCUGUCUCACUUUCAAAUGCAAGGUAAUUAAGACUUCAAAACAUUCAGAAGGCAACACUGAAUAAUUUUAAAGAAUUGUUAUUUUCAAUGUAAAAGAAAUGGCUGUUCUUACAUAUGUACUGCAUAUUAAGAAACAUUCAUAGCAAACUUGAGUGUGGAAGCAAUACAAAAUAAUUCAGAGGUGUUAAACUUUAAGAAAUAGCUUCACAACUGUCACUACUCUGGGCAAGGUUUUCAGCUUUAGAGUUUGUUUAUUUAUACCUAAUAACUCUUUAUAUAUCUGAUGGAUGAUAGACUUUCUCAAACUCAGAUUCUAUGGUAUGUUGGGUAAAAUUAUUCCAUGGUGGGAAGACGAUUUAAUCACCAGCAGUAACCAAAACUCAAGCAUUUAUUAGCUGAAUAAGACUACUGUGGCUUGGUCUUACUCCCUGAGUAGGAGCCCAAACCUCAGGUUUUCUAAAACAAUUGCUAUUGAAGUGAACUACAAAUGAAAAUAGAAACAAGGAAACUUCCAAAAGCACAGAUGCAUUCACCUAUCCUAACUUCAUUAUGGUGGAGAUUCAAUUACUUGACAACAUAUUUUCAGGUGAUCAGCAUUAUUCUAGGCACUGGGGAUGCAGCGGUGAACAAAAACAAAGUUCCUACCCUUAUGGAGCUACAACUCCAGUGUAAACUGGAAUAUUUCACAGGCUGAAUGCACUCACUGUGACCUUUCCCCCCUACUUAUUAGAACCAUGCUUUGAAAAAGAUAAAAAGGAACAAUAAAUAUGAAAUUGAGGCAGUGUUCUGACUGUGAGAGCCCCAAACAAGGAGGAAAAAACCCUGCAUCUCUUUUCUACCUCUUUUGUUUUUUAAAUUACUUUUUAAAAAGACUUUAUUUAUUUAUUUUUAGAGAGCGAGGAAGGAAAGGAGAAAAAGAGGAAGAGAAACAUCAAUGUGUGGUUGCCUCUCCCACUCCCCGCAACUAGGGGCAACCCAGGCACGAGCCCUAACAGGGAAUCGAACCAGUGACUCUUUGUUUCUCAGGGCUGCACUCAAUCCACUGAGUCACACCAGCCAGGGUCUACCUCUUUUGGAAACGCUAAGUAAAGUCUGAGUUUUCAGAUAUCCAAAGGCAAAUUCAUGAUCAGCGUACUAGCAUUCCUCUGCCAGCUGCAGGACACAGAUAAACAGCUAAAAUAUUAUCAUUUCCUAAGCAAUAAACACAACCUUCUCCUUGAAAAACAAAAUCCAGUAUGUUUUCAGAAAUCAUCAGCUGAACUCCAUGUUAUAAUCACACUCCGUAUCAAAAAGUCUUUUACUGGUUAAAAAGUCUCUUGAACCAGCAACACUAUAAUAAUAUCCACUAUAACAAGUAAAAUCUUCAUUUCAAUAGAUAAUGACCGAAGAUCUUGGUAAUUCUGUGACUAUAGACUACAUUAGUAGUAUACAGUGUGGUUCAUUAGGCCUGGGGCCGGGGGGGGGGGGCGGCCGGGGGUAAGUG
Artibeus jamaicensis (Jamaican fruit-eating bat) is the source of this 6459-nucleotide RNA transcript. RefSeq lists it as uncharacterized. The record is from RefSeq and is a predicted model, not a curated record. Lineage: Eukaryota; Metazoa; Chordata; Mammalia; Chiroptera; Phyllostomidae. The transcript has 6 exons.